GGAGAAUUUUUGGGAAAGAAAAAGAAAAAAUUUAGAAUACUUUGGAAUAGUAUUUAAAAGAAAUAAGUAACAUAAUUAAAUCUUGUCUACCGGAAACCAUAUAGUUAUGUAAAUCAUCAUAGAAUGGAAACGCCUCUAGAAUCGAAGAGUUGAAAGAAUGGAAUUAAGGAAGCGAAGUCUAGUUACUUCGUAUCGAUAUAAAUAUUAAAGAAGGAAAAAUGUACUAGAAGCUCAUUAGAGGCUCUUCCAGAUAAUUAAGAAAACCUAAGUAAACAAAGGAAAGUAUGGAGAUACAAACAACAGUGAAAAAAUAGAGCAACUAAAAUAUGCGAAGUGUGGCAAACUUGUUUAGAUACAAAGAAGAUAAGGACAGAAUAAUUAUAAAGAACAUAAAGAAAAAGAAGAACUUUACCACAUGUCCAUCAUAAUCCUUUGUGACACCUCAAGAACUCUACUGUGACUAAUCUUCAAAGUAUAGUAGAAUUUAAAUAAGACAGUCUAUGUCUGAAGCGUGAAGAAGUGAGAUUAAAUAUUCAACCUGGUAUCUGAAAUAAUCAAGUAUAUAGAGUAAGAUUCCCGUUCGGGAAAAAAAUACAU
This is a long non-coding RNA of Centruroides sculpturatus (bark scorpion), 597 nucleotides long. RefSeq lists it as uncharacterized. Lineage: Eukaryota; Metazoa; Arthropoda; Arachnida; Scorpiones; Buthidae. The record is from RefSeq and is a predicted model, not a curated record. The transcript has 5 exons.